Molecule: ribosomal RNA, 617 nt
Filed under: Phlegmacium pansa
Lineage: Eukaryota; Fungi; Basidiomycota; Agaricomycetes; Agaricales; Cortinariaceae
Description: eukaryotic LSU rRNA
Rfam family: Eukaryotic large subunit ribosomal RNA
Source: RNAcentral
UGUGGCCUCAAAUCAGGUAGGACUACCCGCUGAACUUAAGCAUAUCAAUAAGCGGAGGAAAAGAAACUAACAAGGAUUCCCCUAGUAACUGCGAGUGAAGCGGGAAAAGCUCAAAUUUAAAAUCUGGCAGUCUUUGGCUGUCCGAGUUGUAAUCUAGAGAAGCAUUAUCCGCGCUGGACCGUGUACAAGUCUCCUGGAAUGGAGCGUCAUAGAGGGUGAGAAUCCCGUCUUUGACACGGACUGCCAGGGCUUUGUGAUGUGCUCUCAAAGAGUCGAGUUGUUUGGGAAUGCAGCUCAAAAUGGGUGGUAAAUUCCAUCUAAAGCUAAAUAUUGGCGAGAGACCGAUAGCGAACAAGUACCGUGAGGGAAAGAUGAAAAGAACUUUGGAAAGAGAGUUAAACAGUACGUGAAAUUGCUGAAAGGGAAACGUUUGAAGUCAGUCGCGUUGUCCAGGGAUCAACUCUUGCUUUUGCUUGGUGUACUUUCUGGUUAACGGGUCAGCAUCAAUUUUGACUAUUGGAAAAAGAUCAAGGGAAUGUGGCAUCUUUAGAUGUGUUAUAGCCUUUGGUUGCAUACAUUAGUUGGGAUUGAGGAACUCAGCACGCCGCAAGGCCGAG